AAAAAAUUGAACGACGGCAAACUACAACCGGGAAGGGAAAUGGCAAGCUCCUCUUGUGAAGUAGCGGCAAUUACAGAGGGAGUGGAGAGUAGAGAAGACCUAAAGUCGAUGCUACCAUUCUUGCCUCUUGUAAUUCGAUCGUCAAGCCUGGUCUGGCCGUCACGAGUUGUGGAGGUGCUCAAGGCACUCUCUAAAGGACCAGAUUACAGCAAUAUUAACUCUGGAGAAUCACUAUUCACAGCCAUUUCCGAUAUCAGAAAUUCUCUGUAUCUCUCUGCUGAACCUCUCGCUCCUUUUGCCCAAGAAGGUUAUUCCCUCUUCUUUGAUGAGCUGAUGUCCAGAGCUGAGUCCACGAAAUGGUUUGGAGAGAUUCUCCCAGCGAUGGCUAAUUUGCUCUUGAGGAUGCCAUCGCUGCUAGAGUCUCACUAUGAAAAUGCGGAUAAAUUGCUUGAUGGAGUUAAAACUGGUGUCAAAACUGGUCUCCGCGUGUUGGGUCCUCAAGUAGCUGGCAUAGUGUUCCUCAGCCAGGAAUUGAUUAGUGCUCUUCUAGCAUGCGCUUUCUUUUGUUUGUUUCCGGUCACUAAUAGAGGUGCAAAACAUCUUCCAACAAUCAAUCUCGAUCAUUUGUUUGAGAAUCUAUGUGAAAGCUAUAGCAAAAAUCAGGAAAACAAAAUAAUGUGCAUUGUACACUAUUUUGAAAGGAUAUGUUCAUGUGCACCUGUGGGCUUUGUCUCAUUUGAGAGAAAGGUUCUUCCUUUGGAACAAAUUCCUCCAUGUAUUUCCUAUCCUGACGCUGAUUUUUGGAGCAAAUCUGUGGCACCCCUUUGCUCUUUUGAGGUUCACAAUUCAGGCUUCAUAGAAGAUCAAUCCAAUGGAGCUCUUGAAGUGGAUUUUGCUAACAAGUACCUUGGCGGUGGUGCUCUCCAUAGGGGCUGUGUACAGGAAGAGAUCCGUUUCAUGAUCAAUCCUGAAUUAAUUGCUGGCAUGCUUUUCUUGCCUCACAUGGAAGACAAUGAAGCCAUAGAAAUUGUUGGUGCAGAAAGAUUCUCUAAUUACACUGGGUAUGCCUCUUCAUUUCGCUUUUCUGGUGAUCAUGUGGACAGAAGGAACGUUGAUAGUUUUGGAAGACAUAAAACUAGGAUUGUUGCCAUAGAUGCAUUAAGCAAUCCAGGGAUGAGACAGUACAAAAUUAACUACCUCCUUCGGGAGAUCAAUAAGGCAUUUUGUGGCUUUUCUGAUCUAGCCAAAUAUGAUCAUUACAAAAGAUUAUUUCAGAACAGUGGUCCUCAAGGAGCAGAUUCUGAAGAACAUUAUAAAUAUGGGAAUGUUUUAUCCAUGAAUAACUUUCUGGUGAGGGGUAGUAACGAUCUCGUUGAGGAUUCUGGCGAGAAGAGCACUUGGUGUCUAGACCAUAAAGAUAAAAUUGGAAUUGCAACCGGGAAUUGGGGCUGUGGUGCUUUUGGAGGAGAUCCUGAACUAAAGACCAUAAUUCAGUGGCUUGCAGCUUCUCAGGUAAUUUAUUCUAGGACUUGGGCAUUGAAACUAAGUAAAAAUGUUGCAAUAACAACUCCUUGGUUUCUUAGAAGGUAUGCUUUACCAAACCCAAUCAUUAGUUUUGUGAUUUUCCAUGUGCAAACAUUUGCAUGAGAGACCAAACUGUUUUCUAGGCUAUAAUGUUCAUUGCUGAAAUGAAAUUCAUUAAUAUCCGUACCUCUGUUAAAAGAACAGACUUCUUGCUUAUUUCUUGUUUUAGUUUGAUACUGCACUUUCCAUGAACCUGAAUGCAUUUCUUUCAGGCAUUAAGACCUUCCAUUUUCUACUACACCUUUGGCAUUGAGGCGCUGAGUAACCUGGAUCAGGUAAUUGCAUUAUUCUUUCCACGGUGAAAACUUUUUGGUGGAUAAUAGAUUUGUAAUUCCAAGCAAUGCAUCUUUGGCAGGCUAAAGAGUAUAAGAGCUAACAUGUUUGGUGAUUACUGAUUCUGACUUGAAAAAUUUUCCUGGAUGUUGGCCAUCACAAUACACUGCUUUCUUUGAGCUAGUUUGUGAUUGAGGUUCAAAUAUUUUUCUUUGGAAAACCACAAUCCUAUUGGAAAAAGCGGUUUAAUAUUGUCAUUUAGCUGUUUUAGAGUUCUUAUAACUAAAAAAUGCUAUAUUUAAUUUAAAAACAAAUAUUAAUAGCUGCUAAUUAACAUAUUCAAAGUGGCGUUUUUCUCUAAUUUUUUUUUAAAAAGAAAGGUGAUGUUUUUCUUGAAAGCAACUUAAGCAAUUGCACUACAUAUACCUUGGUGGUUUAUAAGCCAUUGAUUGUUCUGACCAUCUGUUAAAUUUAUGUUUCUUGCUACAACACCAUCAAUUUCAUUUGACAAUUUGGGACAGGUAAGCCAAUGGAUUCAGUCACAUGAAUGGACAGUUGGAGAUCUGUGGAAUAUGUUGGUGGAGUACUCAUCUAAGAGAUUUAACAGAGAAACUAACGUAGGCUUCUUUACAUGGCUGCUUCCAUCGCUUUGCUGAGACAUAAAGAAUUCUUGUAUGGUUUUCCUUUUGAUUGUGUUGGUAGGCCAUUUAUUCUUUCUUGUUGAUAGCUGCAUGUGCAAGGCACGUGUGUAGCGUUGACAACUUAAAAAGUAUAUGUUUAUUGUAGUCUAAUUGUUUUUUCAUGUAAAUUAUUAUGAAAUUUUAGAAGUUUAUAUAAUAAAAAUAAGAAUAGUUUGUGUGCAUCCAGGGGGGGG
This 2731-nucleotide unclassified non-coding RNA is filed under the name Hevea brasiliensis (rubber tree). The record is from RNAcentral. Lineage: Eukaryota; Viridiplantae; Streptophyta; Magnoliopsida; Malpighiales; Euphorbiaceae.